GUGGGACGGUGUGCGUGGUUGCCAUCUGCGUUAUGUGCUGUUGCCAGGCUGUGUCCUACAGCUUGUACGGCAGUGCUCACUCCACAUACCUGCAGCCAUAGAGCCACUGGAGAUCAUAGUACUGGCUCUGUGAUGUCUCUGACUCCUUACCACUGGCCAGCCUCCAUACUCUCCUACAAAC
This is a small nucleolar RNA of Hucho hucho (huchen), 181 nucleotides long. The record is from Ensembl. Lineage: Eukaryota; Metazoa; Chordata; Actinopteri; Salmoniformes; Salmonidae.